Mycena epipterygia is the source of this 88-nucleotide non-coding RNA. NCBI's taxonomy places the organism in Eukaryota, Fungi, Basidiomycota, Agaricomycetes, Agaricales, Mycenaceae. The record is from the annotation of a GenBank genome assembly.
UCCGACAUGGUGUAGCGGUAACAUAGGUGCCUUUCAUUCGCCCGAAUGAAAGAAUGUGCACUUGCCCGGUCGACUCCCCGUAUCGGAA